UAGGGAAUCUUGCACAAUGGGCGAAAGCCUGUUGCAGCAACGCCGCGUGCGCGAUGAAGGCCUUCGGGUCAUAAAGCGCUUUUCUGGGAGAAGAGGAAGGACGGUAUCCCAGGAAGAAGGCUCGGCUAACUACGUGCCAGCAGCCGCGGUAAAACGUAGGAGCCAAGCGUUAUUCGAAUUUACUGGGCGUAAAGCGCGUGCAGGCGGCUCGAUAAGUUGAUUGUGAAAUCGCCCGGCUCAACUGGGCGAGGCCGGCCAAGACUGUCGGGCUGGAGGGCAGUAGAGGGAGGUGGAAUUCCCGGUGUAGUGGUGAAAUGCGUAGAGAUCGGGAGGAACACCAGUGGCGAAAGCGGCCUCCUGGGCUGUACCUGACGCUCAGACGCGAAAGCUAGGGGAGCAAACGGGAUUAGAACCCGGUAGUCCUAGCUGUAACGAUGUCGACUUGGCGUCGGUGGGUAAAAGCCAUCGGUGCCGGAGCAAACGCGGUAAGUCGACCGCCUGGGGACUACCGGG
This 513-nucleotide ribosomal RNA is filed under the name uncultured Chloroflexota bacterium. RNAcentral's name for it is "bacterial SSU rRNA". It matches the Rfam family "Bacterial small subunit ribosomal RNA", at positions 355 to 887 of the family's 1533-position model. Lineage: Bacteria; Bacillati; Chloroflexota. The record is from RNAcentral.